RNAcentral lists this ribosomal RNA (495 nucleotides) under uncultured bacterium. Its description in RNAcentral is "partial 16S ribosomal RNA". It matches the Rfam family "Bacterial small subunit ribosomal RNA", at positions 30 to 507 of the family's 1533-position model. The record is from RNAcentral.
UGAACGCUGGCGGCGUGCCUAAUACAUGCACGUCGAGCGACCAGAUGAGGAGCUUGCUCCUCUGACGUUAGCGGCGGACGGGUGAGUAACACGUGGAUAACCUACCUAUAAGACUGGGAUAACUUCGGGAAACCGGAGCUAAUACCGGAUAAUAUAUUGAACCGCAUGGUUCAAUAGUGAAAGACGGUUUUGCUGUCACUUAUAGAUGGAUCCGCGCCGCAUUAGCUAGUUGGUAAGGUAACGGCUUACCAAGGCGACGAUGCGUAGCCGACCUGAGAGGGUGAUCGGCCACACUGGAACUGAGACACGGUCCAGACUCCUACGGGAGGCAGCAGUAGGGAAUCUUCCGCAAUGGGCGAAAGCCUGACGGAGCAACGCCGCGUGAGUGAUGAAGGUCUUCGGAUCGUAAAACUCUGUUAUUAGGGAAGAACAAAUGUGUAAGUAACUAUGCACGUCUUGACGGUACCUAAUCAGAAAGCCACGGCUAACUACGUG